RNAcentral lists this microRNA (22 nucleotides) under Gallus gallus (chicken). Its description in RNAcentral is "gga-miR-12243-3p". Lineage: Eukaryota; Metazoa; Chordata; Aves; Galliformes; Phasianidae. The record is from miRBase by way of RNAcentral.
AGGAAGAAGAGGGGAGGGGAGC